GCCGAAGUUUCCCCGGGAGCAGCCGGGAAAGUUGCGGCCGGCAGCGAGCGCAACUUUGCGCGCCGGCCCCGCAGCCGCCGCCCGCAGCAUCCCCGCAGCAUCCCCGCGGCGCGGCCCGGCCCGGCCCCGUUCAAACUUGGCGGCCGCCGCUCCGAGCGGGCCGGCGGAUCAAUGCGGCCGCGGCCAGCCGCGCUGGGAGCCGGGCUACAGGUUUCACCAGCCAUCGCUGGCAACAGCUUUGUCAUUUUCUAAAAAUAAGAAGCUAAAAGUUAUUGUAGAAGAAGGGGCUUUUUUUGUCCCCCGCACAAUGUGCCUUUUGUGAGUUUAAUGCCAUUCUGGGGCUCUCUAUAGCCCCGGACAAUGGGGAACUCCAGGAGGCGGCUGUGCCUCUGCCUUUUUUCUUUCUUGCUUUCUCUUUUCUCCCCCCCCCCCCCUCCUCUUUUUUUCCCUUUUUUCCCUCUUUUUUUUUUUUAUUCUUUUUUUUCUUUGCAUUUUUUUUUUUUAAGGAAAGGAUGCAGCAUUCCUCCAGUCCCACCAGAACCUCUGCUUUGAUUAAAUAAAUAUUUCUCUAGCCUUACGGUAAUGCUUUUUACUUUCUGUUUGGGUCCAUCUGCAAUUAUUAUUUAAAAUUUUUAUUUCCAGCAGCUUUUCCCUCCCCAUUCUAGCUCUAGCAAAAAAUGUAGAUGAUUGCUGGGAACGUGGGAUUUGAAUUUUAGGAGGAGGUGAACCAGUAGCAAGCCUCUAUCCAGGCUUCAGGAAUAUGUUUUUUCAUCUUUCUAUAAGAGGCUAUUUUAUUACUAGCAGAAAUGCAGCUGAAUUAAAUCAUUUGUCUUGAAAAUCUAAAGAAGCUUUUUCUUUUUUUCUUCAUUUUUUAAAUUUUUUUUUCUUUAUUUUCAUAAUAACAUAAAUAAUUAACUUCCGGGUUUGUUUCAUAGCUCUGAACAAGGAAUGCAGUUGCGGUCAGUUUUUCCAUUUGGGAGAACCUUAAUGUAGAUGUAUUUUAUACUGCAAGGUAAUAAACUGCAUGUUUGUUAGUAAAUAUUUUAAUGAAAUGUCUUGAGCUAUCCCUAUUUCUUAAUGUGGGGGUUGUCAUUUGGAAUUUUGACAAGUCCCUUUAAGUGGGAUGGGAGUGAAGGAAGAGGAUGGAUGAUUAGGAAUUUGACUGUACUGUUGAUGCAUUGAGGGAAGUGUCUUGCAUUUGAGAGAUAGUCACAGGUUUUAAGACUUAGGGUUUGAUAGGUGCCACAGUUCUGUGGAUGUUGUACCUGGUGAUCCCGGUGUGCUGUGUGUGAGUCCUGGUGGUUGGAUUGACUCCAGUACGAGACCAGUUUGCCUUUAAAAGCUGCCCUUAAAAAUCUGUCAGUCCCUGCUCGAUAUAUGUCUAGCUGGCUUUAUGGAAGAAUAAUUGUUAAUGUACUUGCCCUUAAAAAACAAAACAAAACCCUAAAACCAAACCCUAAGAAAAACAAUGCCAAGCAAAAAAAAAAAAAAAAAAAAAAGAAAAACACAAACCAACCAACCCCCAAACCACGGAGCCCUGGGGGAAGCGGAAUUUUUCAGGGCUGCUCAGUGCGCUGUCUGAAAAGGUGCAUGUAAUUUGUAACUGUUUGCUGAACAUGAACCAAACGUGGGUUGAGGAUGAAGUUGAGGCAAGAAUAAAGUAACCCUUGUCUUUAGCACUUGGGAUAACUUAGAAGUGCCUCUUUUCUCCAGAGGCUGUGGAUCCAGUGGCCCAGGCUGCGAGUGGGUGCUGCCUGCGGCCACAUUUUUUGCAGAGCAAAGCAAAAGGAAACGUGUGGGGAAGUUGGGGAGCAAAGGAGCAACUGUGGAUGCUCCAGAAAUAGGCACCUCCGCAGGGACGUGUGCGGGCGCGGGCUGGAGCCAUGGAUGUUGUCUCUGUGCUUGCAUCGUGAAUUCUGGCUGUGUGCUGCUGUCCUCUAAUUUCCCAUGACAACAUAUGGAUCCCAUAAAGGCAAACAUGCCGGAGUGCAUCUGUCUGGGUAGUUAACACAAACCAAACAUCCCCCUGCUCGGCGAUCCUGCUGCUCCUCUGGCCGCGCUGCGCGGAGCCCUCCUGCGACAGCCCCUCGCUGCUCCGGCAUUCCCCGUCACGCUCCCGGGGUGAGCCCGACUGCCCCGGGAGGGAGGAGGGCAGCAGGCGCCAGCUCAGGGGAGCGGAGAGGUUAAGCGGGAAGAGGGGCGCGCGCCCUGCGGCCCCCCGCCCUCCUGGGAGCUGGUCCAGCCCGAGCAGGCUCUGCCCUGGGGUCAAGUCCUAGGACAUCUUCCCUCCACUCCUGGCAAGGCAGGAGCUGAAGCUGGGAAGGGAAACAGCCAGAUGAGCGGAUGGCAGAGAUUUGCCCCUCGUCCUGGAUGCAGCCGUCUGGAGGCUGGGGAACGGGAGAGUUCCCAGUUUUCCGAGGUGCAAAAAGAGGUGGUGAGGGGAGGCUGUGUGUGAAAAGAAGGGAAGGAGCAAGUGACGGCCGCAGGACCAGCGGAUAAAACCACUACGCAAACACCGAAAUGCAGCCAAGGAAUUAAGGGAUAAUUCGUACAGAAAUUGUUAGGUAUGAUUACAUGUAUGUGCAUGCGCGUGUCUCCUCUAGAAAAUUUGCUUUCCAUAAGAUUUCUUUGUUCUAGGCAAAAAGACAACCUGGUUGCUAAAAUAUAAGAAGGGGCUUCCCUUGCUUUAAUUAGAAAUCUUGAUACAGCCUCAUCUGCAAUAGUGCGGGUGCCUCUUGUUUCUAUACAUGUAUCUCUGCACACGCAUAGAUGCGAUUUUGGGUUCAAAUAGCUUUUAAUGUGCUUUAGCAGAAAGAAGCUCUCAGUAUCAGAUCUGCAGGGAAAGUAAGACUGAUUUUUCCCAUAGGAAACUUGUUAAAGACACAGCUGAAUUAUUAGAUCAGCCCGUUUUUUUGUCUCAUGGUAUAUCUGACGUAUUUGCGCAUAGAAUCGUAUAGUUUAAUUUCCGUUAUUUUGAACACAUGGAACGAAUAGCGGUGCUUUAAAGUUAUUAUUUGUAGAAAUGUACACAAAUUAAGAGGAACAACUUUGAAGCAAAAUGUUUUUCUGAGGCAGCGCGUAUGGCUUUCUGGACAGGACUCUCGGCAAAGAUGGUUGUUAUCUCUGACAUGUAAAACAGGGCUCUGUGCUUCUUGGAAAUGUGUCUGAAGAAUCAGAACAAAGCAUGGAAGGCCAGAGUCCUUGAAGGAGCUCCAAAUGAUAAAGUCUGCCAUUCAUUUUAAACACAGCGUGCAUUGUGGAAACACAGGUCAAUUUGAAGGCAUUUGUCAGAUUUCCAGUUCCCUCUGCUCCUUUGCAAUGGAAAUUUGCAAUCAAAUCCCUGUGCUGGAGUUGGGAUGUCUGCCUUGAUCAGUUUGUAUGACUUUAUGCCCAAAGCACUGGCCAGGUAAGCUAGCUUUUCCUUUGGAAAGUUUGUUUGCGUGGAGUUGAGCAGGAGACGGGGGGGAAGACUGAGGGGAAUCGAGCUGGAGCAGAUGCGUUUAUUCCAGGUUUGGAAAGGGGAAAGGGCAGGCGAUCGGCGGUGACGGAUUGCACAGGGCUGGCUGAGCGGCAGGAGUGAGCUGAUACCAUUUAGAGACGCCCAGCAAGAGGCAUGGAAAGGGAUAUUCCAACAGCAGCGUGGUCAUUGUUGAGAUGCAGAAAUGCAGCAGGGCUGAAGAGCCACAUUGCUGAGCAAUUCUGGCCAGACAGCAGGAAUUUCUUCUGGCGGCAUGUUCCCCUUGGUUAAUGCUGGGGCUGCCACCCUUAUUGCUGACACGAGUGGGGAUGCUGGAGGGGAGAGUGCAUUUCUCUAGAAGAAAUGCUGUAGGAUUUGGGGAGGUUUGGGCUGGAGGGGAUGUUCAAAGGAACAUCUUCAAUUUAUUUCUGGGGGUUUACCUGAUUAUUAAAAGACACUGCGCUCUAGGCAGUGGGAUUGACGGGACCUCUGUGGGCUAUUCCAGCUGUCCCCAAACCUCUGGCAAGGCUGCUGCAGCCAGGCUGAGUAAACACUCCUUAGUCAGCCAGCAGGCUUGUAAUGUGCAUUUGCUUGUUUUGCAGGCCAUAACACAAGAGGAGUGGAUGUGUUUGCCAUGGAAAUAAACACUUGGAAUACAUCUAUAUGUUUCUUGGCUUUUUGAGAGAAAUGAAGAAAAAAGUCUUGGCAUUUAAUUAGGAGUCACUAACCUGAUAAAUAUUGAACAUCAUUUCUUUGUGAGCUGCUCCCUGUGGUUGCAGUACUCUAUGGAUGUAUUCCACAAUUGCACUUGUUUAAUGCCUGUAUCACCUCAUGCCUAUUGUAUUUAUGUUGUCAUCAAUGUCAGAUUUUAAUUAAACAAUUAAAUCACUGUCACAGCAA
Corapipo altera (White-ruffed manakin) is the source of this 4357-nucleotide long non-coding RNA. RefSeq lists it as uncharacterized. The record is from RefSeq and is a predicted model, not a curated record. NCBI's taxonomy places the organism in Eukaryota, Metazoa, Chordata, Aves, Passeriformes, Pipridae. The transcript has 2 exons.